UACGGGGGGGUAAGCGUUGUUCGGAAUUACUGGGCGUAAAGAGCGUGUAGGCGGCUAUUUAAGUCCUGCGUGAAGUCCUGCGGCUCAACCGCAGACGGUCGUGGGAAACUGGAUGGCUAGAGUGCGGGAGAGGAGAGUGGAAUUCCCGGUGUAGCGGUGAAAUGCGCAGAUAUCGGGAAGAACACCCGUGGCGAAGGCGGCUCUCUGGAACGCAACUGACGCUGAGACGCGAAAGCGUGGGGAGCAAACAGG
This 252-nucleotide ribosomal RNA is filed under the name uncultured bacterium. Its description in RNAcentral is "partial 16S ribosomal RNA". It matches the Rfam family "Bacterial small subunit ribosomal RNA", at positions 524 to 776 of the family's 1533-position model. The record is from RNAcentral.